RNAcentral lists this ribosomal RNA (467 nucleotides) under uncultured bacterium. RNAcentral describes it as "partial 16S ribosomal RNA". It matches the Rfam family "Bacterial small subunit ribosomal RNA", at positions 28 to 506 of the family's 1533-position model. The record is from RNAcentral.
GACGAACGCUGGCGGCGCGCCUAACACAUGCAAGUCGAACGGAGCUGAGUGAAGCUUGCUUUUCUUAGCUUAGUGGCGAACGGGUGAGUAACGCGUGAGUAACCUGCCCUGGAGUGGGGGACAACAGUUGGAAACGACUGCUAAUACCGCAUAAGCCCACGAUCCGGCAUCGGAUUGAGGGAAAAGGAUUUAUUCGCUUCAGGAUGGACUCGCGUCCAAUUAGCUAGUUGGUGAGGUAACGGCCCACCAAGGCGACGAUUGGUAGCCGGACUGAGAGGUUGAACGGCCACAUUGGGACUGAGACACGGCCCAGACUCCUACGGGAGGCAGCAGUGGGGGAUAUUGCACAAUGGGGGAAACCCUGAUGCAGCGACGCCGCGUGGAGGAAGAAGGUUUUCGGAUUGUAAACUCCUGUCGUUAGGGACGAUAAUGACGGUACCUAACAAGAAAGCACCGGCUAACUACGU